RNAcentral lists this long non-coding RNA (544 nucleotides) under Manacus vitellinus (golden-collared manakin). Its description in RNAcentral is "lncRNA (ENSMVIG00005004078.1)". The record is from RNAcentral. Lineage: Eukaryota; Metazoa; Chordata; Aves; Passeriformes; Pipridae.
CACAAACUGCCCAGCAAACCUGAGCUGCCGAGGCUGUGUGGAUAGCAGCACAGAAUAGCAGCAACACACUGGUCCUUUUAGAGGUGCAUUCAGCUACAGGAUGCCCACAGAAGGAUGCAGAGAAGUUGAAGCAGCAUUUGCUACUUUCCUGAAGCACAGCUACCUAAGCAGAGCUCUGUUGUCACCUUUGCUCUGCUCUUGCCACACUGCAGCACCUAGCCCUGGGCAUGAUUGAAGCUGGGAACCAAAAGCUGGCCAGCACAGAGCCCAAAAUACCCAAGGACAUCCAUGACACAAUCUCAGAAGAGCCUGUACCAGCUUAUAAAUUGUCUGUGCAGUGGGAUCUGUCAGGGGGAAGCACAGCGUGCCUCCAUGGAGACGACAAAGUUUGGGACUGAAGCAGUGAGAGGCACGGGAUCAUCAUGGAGCAGUGCUGUGAGCUUUGGUAAUAAACUGACCCUGCAGAAGAGAGAAGGAGGAAGGAGAGGGUUCCUGUUGCCCUGGGCAUGGUGCAGGUAGCCCAGGGCAACUAUCACUAAGAGAC